UACGUAGGGUGCAAGCGUUGUCCGGAAUUAUUGGGCGUAAAGAGCUCGUAGGCGGUCUGUCACGUCGGAUGUGAAAACCCGGGGCUCAACCCCGAGCCUGCAUUCGAUACGGGCAGACUUGAGUUCGGCAGGGGAGACUGGAAUUCCUGGUGUAGCGGUGAAAUGCGCAGAUAUCAGGAGGAACACCGGUGGCGAAGGCGGGUCUCUGGGCCGAUACUGACGCUGAGGAGCGAAAGCGUGGGGAGCGAACAGG
RNAcentral lists this ribosomal RNA (253 nucleotides) under uncultured bacterium. RNAcentral describes it as "partial 16S ribosomal RNA". It matches the Rfam family "Bacterial small subunit ribosomal RNA", at positions 524 to 776 of the family's 1533-position model. The record is from RNAcentral.